Molecule: ribosomal RNA, 1236 nt
Filed under: Triticum aestivum (bread wheat)
Lineage: Eukaryota; Viridiplantae; Streptophyta; Magnoliopsida; Poales; Poaceae
Description: partial small subunit ribosomal RNA
Source: RNAcentral
AUGUGCAGCCAUGGCCAUGCGGAGCCGGCGACGACGUGCGUGACGUGCCCGCCGCGGUCGCAGGGGCGGCUCAUCACGGUGCUGAGCAUCGACGGCGGCGGCAUCCGCGGUCUCAUCCCCUCCACCAUCCUCGCCUGCCUCGAGUCCAAGCUCCAGGAGCUGGACGGGCCGGAUGUGCGCAUCGCUGACUACUUCGACGUGAUCGCCGGGACGAGCACGGGCGCGCUGGUCACGUCCAUGCUGGCGGCGCCGGGCGAGAACAAGCGGCCGCUCUUCGAGGCCAAGGAAAUCAACAAGUUCUACCUCGACAACGGGCCCAAGAUCUUCCCGCAGAAAAGCUGGGGAUUCCUGACCCCGAUGGCAAAUAUGUUUGGCGCGGUGAUGGGUCCCAAGUACGACGGUAAGUUCCUACACGACAAGAUCAAGAACCUCACCAACGACGUCACGGUCGCCGACACCGUCACCAACAUCAUCGUCCCGACGUUCGACGUUAAGUACCUGCAGCCGAUCAUCUUCAACACGUACGAGGCCAAGGUGGACCCACUCAAGAACGCGCACCUAUCCGACAUCUGCAUCAGCACGUCCGCCGCACCCACCUACUUCCCGGCACAUUAUUUCACGACCCAUGACCCGUCUCGCAAGCUGCCAGACCGUGAGUACCACCUCAUCGACGGCGGCGUGGCCGCCAACAACCCCACCAUGGCUGCCAUGUCCAUGAUCACCAAGGAGGUGCUGCGCCGCAAGCCCGACUUCACGCAAGGCAAGCCCGCCGAGUACGGCAACUACCUCAUCAUCUCCAUCGGCACCGGGUCCGCCAAGAUGGCGGAGAAGUACACCGCGCCCGAUUGCGCCAAGUGGGGCGUCCUCCGCUGGCUCUAUGACGGCGGCUUCACCCCACUCAUCGACAUCUUCUCUCAUGCGAGCGCCGACAUGGUCGACAUCCACGCCGCCGUGCUGUUUCAGGCCCUGCGCAUUGAGAAGAACUACCUACGCAUCUAGGACGACUUGCUCACAGGGCACACGUCCUCGGUGGACAUCGCCACCAAAGAGAACAUGGAGGCCCUUAUCGGGAUCGGUAAGAAUCUUCUCAAGAGGAAUGUGUCCCGGGUGAACAUUGACACAGGGAUGUAUGAGUCCGUCAAUGGCGAGGGAACCAACGAAGAGGCGCUCGCGCGCUUCGCCAGGAAGCUAUCCGAGGAGCGCAAGCUGCGCCAAACCAACCUCAACUCCAAAUAG